RNAcentral lists this unclassified non-coding RNA (2640 nucleotides) under Bactrocera latifrons. RNAcentral describes it as "aMP deaminase 2, transcript variant X7". The record is from RNAcentral. Lineage: Eukaryota; Metazoa; Arthropoda; Insecta; Diptera; Tephritidae.
UACUUUCUGUUUUCAAAUCGAUCAAGAGCUUCGUAGAGCUUGGGUAUAUUUUGAAAUGAAUUUCAACCGAAUGGAUUCGACACAUCGCCUGCUGGUCGAUGCAAAGCUUUUCGGAUUCCCGAUUCAAGGAUCCGAUUCGCCCACCUCCACCGCAGCGGCGCGUCUAUCUAAGACACCUGUACCCGGUGAAGUUUCCGAAGAUGGACUUCCGAAUGAAAUUUCCGCACCAUAUGAGGUACCACAAUUCCCUAUCGAACAAAUUGAGAAGAAAUUACAAAUACAGCGGCAAUUAAAUGAGGCAAUACCCUCGAGAUCUGAUAAGCAUCAAUCAGUACUAACUGAAGAGAGUUUAAUGACAUUGGACAACUACGACGCAGAGGAACAUGAAUUGCCCAAUUUUCAACGUGUUUCCAUCUCUGGUGAGGAUACAAGUGGCGUGCCAUUGGAAGAUUUAGAACGCGCCUCCACGCUGCUCAUACAAGCGCUGGAAUUACGCGAACGUUAUAUGUUGCAUUCGGGCCAGUCGUUCCCGACAACAACGAGACGUUUUCUAAAAACCGUGCACGAGCGCAAUCGUUUCGGCACGAUCGAACACGAGAAUCGCAAGACCAUUGCAGACAUAAUACGCAAGAUCAGCCUCCCCAGUACUCAGACAGACCAUCCCAUACAUCCGCCAAAUGACAAGUCUGACCCAUGGGAAUUGGAAUUUCCAGCUGAUAAUGAUUAUGAAAUUAAAAGUAUUAACGGUGUCUUCCACGUCUACAAGGAUAAGGAAUGCACGCAGGAGGUGAAAUGCGAAUAUCCAAAUCUCAAGGAGUUCGUUAACGACAUGCAAGUCAUGUGUAAUAUGAUUGUUGAUGGACCACUUAAAUCGUUUUGUUAUCGCCGCCUUUGCUAUCUCUCAUCGAAAUUCCAGUUGCAUGUCCUUUUAAAUGAGCUACGUGAGUUGGCUUCCCAGAAGGCGGUGCCACAUCGUGAUUUCUAUAAUAUUAGAAAGGUGGACACUCACAUACACGCCGCUUCAUGCAUGAAUCAGAAACACUUGCUGCGUUUCAUUAAGAAGACGCUCAAAAAUAACGCCGAUGAAAUUGUGACAAUCACCAAAGGUCAGCCAAUGUCACUGAAAGAUGUUUUCCAGUCAAUGAAUCUGACCACCUAUGAUCUAACUGUGGAUAUGUUGGAUGUGCACGCGGACCGGAACACAUUCCAUCGUUUCGACAAAUUCAAUUCCAAAUACAAUCCGAUCGGUGAGUCGCGUUUGCGCGAGGUCUUCCUCAAGACGGACAACUAUUCGAAUGGCAAAUAUUUUGCACAAAUUAUUAAGGAAGUCGCCUUCGAUUUGGAGGAAUCGAAAUACCAAAAUACCGAGCUACGUCUCUCCAUUUAUGGCAAAUCACCGGAUGAGUGGAAGAAACUAGCCAGAUGGGCCAUCGAAUACAAUGUGCAUUCGACAAAUGUACGCUGGUUGAUACAGAUUCCACGACUUUACGAUAUCUUCAAAUCCAAUAAUUUGAUGAAUUCAUUCCAAAAUAUAUUGGACAACAUCUUUAAGCCACUCUUCGAGGCUACAAGCCGACCCAGCGAGCAUCCGGACUUACAUCGUUUUCUUAAUUAUGUAAUCGGUUUCGAUUCAGUGGACGAUGAAUCGAAGCCGGAGAAUCCAAUUAUUGAUUUGGACAUACCAACACCGGAAGCGUGGAGUGAGGAGGAGAAUCCACCAUAUGCCUACUACAUUUACUAUAUGUACGCGAAUAUGACUGUGCUGAACCAAUACCGAAAAGCGCGCGGCAUGAAUACAUUCGUUUUGCGUCCGCAUUGCGGUGAGGCCGGUCCGGUGCAGCAUUUAGUUUGUGGCUACCUAAUGGCUGAGAACAUCUCUCACGGUCUCCUCUUGCGUAAAGUGCCUGUGCUGCAGUAUCUCUUUUAUCUGACACAAAUCGGCAUUGCCAUGUCGCCACUCUCCAAUAAUUCACUCUUCCUCAACUACCAUCGCAAUCCGCUCCCAGAGUAUUUGGCGCGCGGUCUGAUUGUCUCACUUUCCACCGAUGAUCCACUGCAAUUCCACUUCACAAAGGAACCCCUGAUGGAGGAGUACAGCAUUGCGGCGCAAGUGUGGAAGUUGAGCUCAUGUGAUAUGUGCGAAUUGGCGCGCAACAGUGUGAUUAUGAGUGGUUUUCCGCAUAAGGUCAAGCAACACUGGCUCGGACCGAAUUACACGCGUGAAGGUGUCGCUGGCAAUGACAUAACACGCACCAAUGUGCCCGACAUACGCGUGGCCUACCGGCAUGAAACGCUGCUCGAUGAGCUGUCGAAUAUCUUCAAGGUGCACGAGAUACCGAAAAGUGAGUAAACCUACCCGGAGACAACCACCAGCGCAGCAGUGCCCAACAACAACACAAACACAUUUGAUACACACAUACAACUGCGUAAGCGAUUGCUUAGCCCGAACAGCUGGUGCCAUGACGGUUGAGCCGACAUCUUCUCAUGAAUUUACCUACAAACAUAUGUAUAAACUCCUUGAGGCUCCUUUUUCUACCACAAUUAUAACUAGGAGAGUGCAAACAACGUUCAACUGCAAGCUGAAGAAGUUGAAAAUGAAGUUGAAAAAGCAAAUCAAAUCGAAGCCGUUAAGUCAUUUUU